GGAAGAUCCCCUAGAGAAAGGAAUGGCAACAUUCCAGUAUUCUUGCCUGGAAAAUUCCAGAGGAGCCUGGUGGGCUACACUCCAUGGGAUUGCAAAGAGAGAAAUGCAAAUCAAGACUACAAUGAGUUUUCUGGCCAGGUGAAAUGUGGGAUCUUUGACUCCAUGACCAAGGACUGAACCUACACCUCCUGUGUUGAAAGGCGACAUUUUAACCAUCGAACCAGAAGGGAAGUCCCGCAAGUUUCAUAUAUAUAUAUUUCAAUGGAUAGACACAAGGCCUCUCUUUCUAGAAAUGACUUCUCUCCAGAAAUAUGAGAUUAUCUUUACCUCUUACUUUCCUAUCAUAGAUGUCUGAAGGUCGUGGAGUAGAGAUUACUGGACUUGAGUCAAAAAACUGAG
This is a long non-coding RNA of Bos taurus (domestic cattle), 399 nucleotides long. Lineage: Eukaryota; Metazoa; Chordata; Mammalia; Artiodactyla; Bovidae. The record is from Ensembl.